RNAcentral lists this ribosomal RNA (465 nucleotides) under Vreelandella stevensii. Its description in RNAcentral is "partial 16S ribosomal RNA". It matches the Rfam family "Bacterial small subunit ribosomal RNA", at positions 338 to 795 of the family's 1533-position model. Lineage: Bacteria; Pseudomonadati; Pseudomonadota; Gammaproteobacteria; Oceanospirillales; Halomonadaceae. The record is from RNAcentral.
CCUACGGGCGGCUGCAGUGGGGAAUAUUGGACAAUGGGGGCAACCCUGAUCCAGCCAUGCCGCGUGUGUGAAGAAGGCCCUCGGGUUGUAAAGCACUUUCAGUGAGGAAGAACGCCUGGUGGUUAAUACCCAUCAGGAAAGACAUCACUCACAGAAGAAGCACCGGCUAACUCCGUGCCAGCAGCCGCGGUAAUACGGAGGGUGCGAGCGUUAAUCGGAAUUACUGGGCGUAAAGCGCGCGUAGGUGGCUUGAUAAGCCGGUUGUGAAAGCCCCGGGCUCAACCUGGGAACGGCAUCCGGAACUGUCAAGCUAGAGUGCAGGAGAGGAAGGUAGAAUUCCCGGUGUAGCGGUGAAAUGCGUAGAGAUCGGGAGGAAUACCAGUGGCGAAGGCGGCCUUCUGGACUGACACUGACGCUGAGGUGCGAAAGCGUGGGUAGCAAACAGGAUUAGAUACCCGUGUAGUC